This 666-nucleotide ribosomal RNA is filed under the name uncultured bacterium. Its description in RNAcentral is "bacterial SSU rRNA". It matches the Rfam family "Bacterial small subunit ribosomal RNA", at positions 8 to 689 of the family's 1533-position model. The record is from RNAcentral.
AGGGUUUGAUCAUGGCUCAGGACGAACGCUGGCGGCGGGCCUAACACAUGCAAGUCGAACGCACUCGACCUUCGGGUCAUAUGAGUGAGUGGCGAACGGGUGAGUAACACGUGAGAAACCUGCCCCGAAGACUGGAAUAACCCGAGGAAACUCGGGCUAAUACCGGAUGCCCCCAACUGAUCGCAUGAUCAGUUGAGGAAAUGCUCCGGCGCUUCGGGAGGGUCUCGCGGCCUAUCAGCUAGUUGGUGAGGUAACGGCUCACCAAGGCAACGACGGGUAGCUGGUCUGAGAGGACGAUCAGCCACACUGGGACUGAGACACGGCCCAGACUCCUACGGGAGGCAGCAGUGGGGAAUCUUGCGCAAUGGACGAAAGUCUGACGCAGCCACGCCGCGUGAGGGAUGAAGGCUUUCGGGUCGUAAACCUCUUUCAGCAGGGAAGAAAAUGACGGUACCUGCAGAAGAAGCUCCGGCCAACUACGUGCCAGCAGCCGCGGUAACACGUAGGGAGCAAGCGUUGUCCGGAUUUAUUGGGCGUAAAGAGCUCGUAGGCUGUUCAGUAAGUCAGGUGUGAAAACUCGAGGCUCAACCUCGAGACGCCACUUGAUACUGCUGUGACUAGAGUCCGGUAGAGGAGUGUGGAAUUCCUGGUGUAGCGGUGAAAUGC